Molecule: ribosomal RNA, 651 nt
Filed under: uncultured Funneliformis
Lineage: Eukaryota; Fungi; Glomeromycota; Glomeromycetes; Glomerales; Glomeraceae
Description: SSU rRNA
Rfam family: Eukaryotic small subunit ribosomal RNA
Source: RNAcentral
AAGCUCGUAGUUGAAUUUCGGGAUCAAUGGAUUGGUCAUGCCGUCGGUAUGUACUGGUCAUAUUGGUUCUCACCUUCUAAGGAACCAUAAUGUCAUUCAUUUGAUGUUUUGGGGAAUUAGGACUGUUACCUUGAAAAAAUUAGAGUGUUUAAAGCAGGCUAACGCUUGAAUACAUUAGCAUGGAAUAAUGAAAUAGGACAUCGCAUUCUAUUUUGUUGGUUUUUAGGAUCGAUGUAAUGAUUAAUAGGGAUAGUUGGGGGCAUUAGUAUUCAAUUGUCAGAGGUGAAAUUCUUGGAUUUAUUGAAGACUAACUACUGCGAAAGCAUUUGCCAAGGAUGUUUUCAUUAAUCAAGAACGAAGGUUAGGGGAUCGAAGACGAUCAGAUACCGUCGUAGUCUUAACCAUAAACUAUGCCGACUAGGGAUCGGAUGAUGUUGAUUUUUUAAUGACUCAUUCGGCACCUUACGGGAAACCAAAGUGUUUGGGUUCCGGGGGGAGUAUGGUCGCAAGGCUGAAACUUAAAGGAAUUGACGGAAGGGCACCACCAGGGGUGGAGCCUGCGGCUUAAUUUGACUCAACACGGAGAAACUCACCAGGUCCAGACAUAGUAAGGAUUGACAGAUUGAGAGCUCUUUCUUGAUUCUAUGGGUG